This 1959-nucleotide unclassified non-coding RNA is filed under the name Portunus trituberculatus (swimming crab). Its description in RNAcentral is "serine/threonine-protein kinase SBK1-like, transcript variant X2". The record is from RNAcentral. Lineage: Eukaryota; Metazoa; Arthropoda; Malacostraca; Decapoda; Portunidae.
GGAAGUAACAGAGAAGAGAACAAGAAGAAAGAAGGAAGAGGAGGAAGAGAAGGAAGAGGAGGAGGAAGAAGAGGAAGAAGAAGAGGAAGAAGAGGAAGAAGAGGAAGAGGAAGAGGAGAAAUUAUUUACAUCUUCAAUAAACUAAGUUCAAGUUUAGCAAGGAUGACUACGCUAGCAAGGAGAAAUUCUUCCAUACACAAGAUACGUGAAUACCAGCUGGACAAGAUAAGGCUGGAGGACGAGUAUGAGGUGGUGCAGGCGCUGCAGGAGGGCUGGCGGGGGCGGCUGUUACUAGUGGAGCAUCGCAGGACGGGACACGAGGUGGUGCUGAAGGCCAUCCACAAAGCUUCAUCCUCUAGACUUGACUUCUUUAGAGAGUUCCACUACAACUACUACCUGUCCCCGCAUCUCAACAUCCUCAAUGCUUACGAUGUGGCCUUUGAGACAGACGACCACUAUAUGUUCGCCCAGGAGUACGCACCGCUGGGAGACCUCACCACGAACCUCUCUGAUUGUGGCCUGGGGGAGAUAUUCACCAAACGCAUCACACGCCAGCUCGCCUCUGCUCUAGACUUCAUGCACUCUAAGGAACUGGUGCACCGAGACCUCAACAUGGACAAUAUUCUGGUGUUUAAGAGUGACUUCAGCCAUGUCAAAGUGUGUGAUUUCGGCUCCACCAGGAAGAAGGGCACGCUGUUGAAGAAGAGAACGGUAUGGCUGCCUUAUGCCCCGCCAGAGAUCGUGGACGCUGUGCAGAAUGAAGGCUUCCAUGCUGACCCUGCCCAGGACGUGUGGCAGCUGGGCAUCCUGGUGUACGUGCUGCUGACGGGGCAGCUGCCGUGGCAGAAGGCAGACGUGACGGACCCGCACUACGCGGAGUACCUGCACUGGCGCAAGCGGCGCACUCUCCGCACACCAAAACGCUUCGCAAACUUCACGUCGCGGCUGCUGCGGAUGCUGAAGCGCCUGCUGGAGCCCAAGCCGGAGAAGCGCGCGGCGGCCAAGGAGGCGUACAAGUACCUCGAGGACCGCUGGGUGGUGCGCGGAGGUGGCGGCGGCGUGGGCGGCGGGCGGCGGGACGUGGGGGACAUUGACGGCCAGAGCGUGUGCUACUCCACCUUCUCGGCGCACUCCUGCCCCAGGGAGAAGGACCGCGUGCUGGGGGCGCUCAAGGCACACGGCAUCGAGACCACCGUGGACCGCGUGGCCAAGCGCCAGCGCAUCCACGAGUGGCUGGAGCGCUCCCUGCUGGGCGUGCCCGCCGUGACGGGGCCCCGCGGCGAGACGCACCAGCCCACCCACCCACACCAGCACCACCACCAGCACCACCACCAGCUGCACCACGUGACGGAGCCCAUAGCCACACGCAGCCAGCAGUACCAGGAGUUCGCAGCGCUGGCGGUGAAGGUGGCGCAGGCCAAGGUGCCGCGCGACGCCAACCACAACACCCACAACACCCACAACACUCACCACUCACACGACUCCGCCAAGCGACACUCACACACCGACAAGGACGACAGGACCUUCCUCCCCCUGCAGCGCAGCAGGACCGACUCCUUCCUGCUGGGCGGGGCGCCGCGCCGCGCCCACUCCAGGGAAACCAGCCCAGACUCAGACGACACGGGCGGCGCAGACACCAUGGAAAGCCUCAAGGCACCGCUGCGCCCGCCGCCCCCGCCGCCGCCACAACGCUAGCACACCCCGCCCACCCACACACACACACACACACACACACACACACACACACACACACACACAAUGGUCCAUAUCUUCCCCAGUGUAGGUGUAAGGCGUGGCCACCACCAAGGGCCAUGAGAUAAUGAUGUACGAGAUGCCUUACCCUCAACACAACACCUCAACUAUGCAAUGCCUGUGUGUGUGUGUGUGUGUGUGUGUGUGUGUGUGUGUGUGUGUGUGUGUGUGUGUGUGUGUGUGUGUGUGUGUGUGUGUGUGUGUGUG